CUACUUCUGAAGAGUCCCAAAAUAGGACGAAACAGCUGUCCACUAU
RNAcentral lists this non-coding RNA (46 nucleotides) under Trichobilharzia regenti. Lineage: Eukaryota; Metazoa; Platyhelminthes; Trematoda; Strigeidida; Schistosomatidae. The record is from RNAcentral.